RNAcentral lists this ribosomal RNA (251 nucleotides) under uncultured prokaryote. Its description in RNAcentral is "partial 16S rRNA". It matches the Rfam family "Bacterial small subunit ribosomal RNA", at positions 525 to 775 of the family's 1533-position model. The record is from RNAcentral.
ACGGAGGGUGCAAGCGUUACUCGGAAUCACUGGGCGUAAAGAGCGUGUAGGCGGAUAUAUAAGUGAGAGGUGAAAUCCAAUAGCUUAACUAUUGAAAUGCUUUUGAAACUGGAUAACUAGAAUGAAGGAGAGGAAGAUGGAAUUUCUGGUGUAGGGGUGAAAUGCGUAGAUAUUAGAAGGAACACCGAUGGCGAAGGCGACAUACUGGACUAUAACUGACACUGAGGCGCGAAAGCGUGGGGAGCAAACAG